Molecule: ribosomal RNA, 1344 nt
Filed under: uncultured bacterium
Lineage: Bacteria
Description: 16S ribosomal RNA
Rfam family: Bacterial small subunit ribosomal RNA
Source: RNAcentral
GACGAACGCUGGUUUGCGUGCUUAACACAUGCAAGUCGAACGGAAAGGCCCUGCUUUUGUGGGGUGCUCGAGUGGCGAACGGGUGAGUAACACGUGAGUAACCUGCCCUUGACUUUGGGAUAACUUCAGGAAACUGGGGCUAAUACCGGAUAGGAGCUCCUGCUGCAUGGUGGGGGUUGGAAAGUUUCGGCGGUUGGGGAUGGACUCGCGGCUUAUCAGCUUGUUGGUGGGGUAGUGGCUUACCAAGGCUUUGACGGGUAGCCGGCCUGAGAGGGUGACCGGCCACAUUGGGACUGAGAUACGGCCCAGACUCCUACGGGAGGCAGCAGUGGGGAAUAUUGCACAAUGGGCGGAAGCCUGAUGCAGCAACGCCGCGUGCGGGAUGACGGCCUUCGGGUUGUAAACCGCUUUCGCCUGUGACGAAGCGUGAGUGACGGUAAUGGGUAAAGAAGCACCGGCUAACUACGUGCCAGCAGCCGCGGUGAUACGUAGGGUGCGAGCGUUGUCCGGAUUUAUUGGGCGUAAAGGGCUCGUAGGUGGUUGAUCGCGUCGGAAGUGUAAUCUUGGGGCUUAACCCUGAGCGUGCUUUCGAUACGGGUUGACUUGAGGAAUGUAGGGGAGAAUGGAAUUCCUGGUGGAGCGGUGGAAUGCGCAGAUAUCAGGAGGAACACCAGUGGCGAAGGCGGUUCUCUGGGCCUUUCCUGACGCUGAGGAGCGAAAGCGUGGGGAGCGAACAGGCUUAGAUACCCUGGUAGUCCACGCUGUAAACGGUGGGUACUAGGUGUGGGGUCCAUUCCACGGGUUCCGUGCCGUAGCUAACGCUUUAAGUACCCCGCCUGGGGAGUACGGCCGCAAGGCUAAAACUCAAAGGAAUUGACGGGGCCCCGCACAAGCGGCGGAGCAUGCGGAUUAAUUCGAUGCAACGCGUAGAACCUUACCUGGGUUUGACAUGGAUCGGGAGUGCUCAGAGAUGGGUGUGCCUCUUUUGGGGUCGGUUCACAGGUGGUGCAUGGCUGUCGUCAGCUCGUGUCGUGAGAUGUUGGGUUAAGUCCCGCAACGAGCGCAACCCUUGUUCACUGUUGCCAGCACGUUAUGGUGGGGACUCAGUGGAGACCGCCGGGGUCAACUCGGAGGAAGGUGGGGAUGACGUCAAGUCAUCAUGCCCCUUAUGUCCAGGGCUUCACGCAUGCUACAAUGGCUGGUACAGAGAGUGGCGAGCCUGUGAGGGUGAGCGAAUCUCGGAAAGCCGGUCUCAGUUCGGAUUGGGGUCUGCAACUCGACCUCAUGAAGUCGGAGUCGCUAGUAAUCGCAGAUCAGCAACGCUGCGGUGAAUACGUUCCCGGG